Molecule: long non-coding RNA, 242 nt
Filed under: Brassica napus (rape)
Lineage: Eukaryota; Viridiplantae; Streptophyta; Magnoliopsida; Brassicales; Brassicaceae
Description: long non-coding RNA (BNAP_LNC014422)
Source: RNAcentral
AAAGAGAUGAACAUCUGUAAUAAUUAAUUGCGCUCCAGAUACAUAUCUAAGAAUCAAAUUUUUGAAGAAAAUCAACGGAAAACUCUAUUCAUAGGUUAGUGAUCAAAUCUAAUAUAUCAAACAUGUUAUAAAAUAUAAGUGCAAACUCAAAAUAUAAAUAUAUGUCUAGUAUUUAUUCACCAGUUCGGUCUGAAAAUCAUCUAAUUCUAGAAGAAUAAAACAAAUUACUUAUUUUAUUAACC